Molecule: non-coding RNA, 100 nt
Organism: Achaetomium macrosporum
Lineage: Eukaryota; Fungi; Ascomycota; Sordariomycetes; Sordariales; Chaetomiaceae
Source: the annotation of a GenBank genome assembly
GUCACUUUGGCGGAGUGGUUAACGCGCUGCCCUGCUAAUUCACAAGUUAGCCUGUUAGGCAGUUCCCUCGGGAGCGUAGGUUCGAAUCCUACAGGUGACG